RNAcentral lists this unclassified non-coding RNA (21 nucleotides) under Chlamydomonas reinhardtii. Its description in RNAcentral is "small RNA Cre_3209". The record is from RNAcentral. Lineage: Eukaryota; Viridiplantae; Chlorophyta; Chlorophyceae; Chlamydomonadales; Chlamydomonadaceae.
UGCUUUGCAGCGAGUAUGCGG